UACGUAGGGUGCGAGCGUUGUCCGGAAUUAUUGGGCGUAAAGAGCUUGUAGGUGGCUUGUCGCGUCUGCUGUGAAAAAUCCGAGGCUCAACUCCGGAUCUGCGGUGGGGUACGGGCAGACUAGAGUGAUGUAGGGGGAGACUGGAAUUCCUGGUGUAGCGGUGAAAAUGCGCAGAUAUCAGGAGGAAACACCGAUGGCGAAAGGCAGAUCUCUGGGGCCUAACUGACGCUGAGGCGCGAAAAGCGUGGGGGGAGCAAAACAGG
Molecule: ribosomal RNA, 263 nt
Filed under: uncultured bacterium
Lineage: Bacteria
Description: partial 16S ribosomal RNA
Rfam family: Bacterial small subunit ribosomal RNA
Source: RNAcentral